RNAcentral lists this unclassified non-coding RNA (250 nucleotides) under plant metagenome. RNAcentral's name for it is "partial contains small subunit ribosomal RNA, internal transcribed spacer 1, and 5.8S ribosomal RNA". The record is from RNAcentral.
GUAGGUGAACCUGCGGAAGGAUCAUCAAUAGUCCAACAUGAUCAGUGCAACUAAAAAUCGCACUGGUCUAACCUUCUUGUGCACUGUUUAUUGUUAAUUGUUUGGGAAGACAACUGAGAUGUCAGUUUUUUAAAUUGACAGAUCGACUCCCAAUCAAUUUAUCUCUAACUAACCAAUUUAUAUUUGAAGUUGUUUAUUUUACAGGAAACUGUACUAAUAUCAAUACAACUUACAGCGAUGGAUCUCUAGG